Mauremys mutica (yellowpond turtle) is the source of this 331-nucleotide long non-coding RNA. RefSeq lists it as uncharacterized. NCBI's taxonomy places the organism in Eukaryota, Metazoa, Chordata, Testudines, Geoemydidae. The record is from RefSeq and is a predicted model, not a curated record. The transcript is spliced from 4 exons.
CUGGGAGUGUGCCAGGAAAACCUGAAGGAGGACUGGACUAACCUGCCUGCUAGAGGACUGCAUCUAGGCCUGCAGAUAAGACUAUUUAAUUCCUUGGUUUUGCUUUGUUUAUGCACUUCCUCUGCUGCUGCUGCCUGGAUCCUGCACACUGCUGCCCAGGAGAAGUGAGAGCAUAGGCAGGAGGUACCAAACCCAUAAGUGAUACAAGACAUACCCUGAUAAUGUGGAUGGGUGCCAUAUAAAUACCUAAGACACACAGGUAGCAUAUAAUUACGCAAUCAAUCCAAGGAAGAGGGGAUGCAGCUUGCCAGAAGGAAAGAACUGAUAGUGA